GGUUGCGAUCAUACCAGCACUAAUGCACCGGAUCCCAUCAGAACUCCGCAGUUAAGCGUGCUUGGGCGAGAGUAAUACUAGGAUGGGUGACCCCCUGGGAAGUCCUCGUGUUGCAACCC
RNAcentral lists this ribosomal RNA (119 nucleotides) under Helianthus annuus (common sunflower). Lineage: Eukaryota; Viridiplantae; Streptophyta; Magnoliopsida; Asterales; Asteraceae. The record is from RNAcentral.